UAACUGUGAUACGUAGUGUGAAUUGCAGAAUUCAGUGAACCAUCGAAACCUUGAACGCACCUUGCGCUCGCGGUCACCCGCGAGCAUGCCUGUUUGAGUGUCGUCUCAAUACUCUCAAAAACCCCCCAGGGGGGCAAGCGAGGAGUCUGGGCGUCAGGGCCUUCCCCCUGUCGCCUGAAAAGCAGCGGAGACCACGACGGCCGCGACCCGUUCAGGGUCCGCCUGGUACCACGGACGUUGCCAGCAUGCCUCACGGCGUGAUCUACGUCCCGGGGUGCCACAGGGCGGGCUUUCCUGCGGGCCUGCGGUCGCCUCUCCCAGAGUCCGCCUAGCGCGACCCAAAUACAACCUGCGACCUCAAAUCAGGCAAGGCUACCCGCUGAAUUUAA
RNAcentral lists this unclassified non-coding RNA (389 nucleotides) under uncultured Harzia. RNAcentral's name for it is "sequence contains ITS1". The stretch from base 1 to 103 matches the Rfam family "5.8S ribosomal RNA", at positions 50 to 154 of the family's 154-position model. The record is from RNAcentral. Lineage: Eukaryota; Fungi; Ascomycota; Sordariomycetes; Coronophorales; Ceratostomataceae.